This is a long non-coding RNA of Hyalella azteca, 456 nucleotides long. RefSeq lists it as uncharacterized. The transcript is spliced from 4 exons. NCBI's taxonomy places the organism in Eukaryota, Metazoa, Arthropoda, Malacostraca, Amphipoda, Hyalellidae. The record is from RefSeq and is a predicted model, not a curated record.
AAUGUGUGUUACGCCCUGGCAAUUGCUGGAACGAUAUUUGUAUUCCUUCAACUUAACUUGUAUCUCAUCAAGAGAGAGUCUGCAGGAUAUUCUGCUUAUCGUCGCAUUAACCGAAGAGAAGUUAUUUCUGAAGGUUAUGAGGUCGAUUUGUUGAACGUCAAUGAUGAAUUAUUAAUCGAGACGACAAACACAAUUGCAUCUUAUUCAAAGCCAAUGAUACCGACCGAAGAAGUAGUAGCUGUGAUCGUUUUGUGUGAAGGGACUCCUGAUAACUUGACGAGCUCCCUCACGGACAUCAGUCGUCAGUUUUUUCAGGUCAACGCAGCCAUGAAAUCAUUCAUUUAUUUAUCAAACCAACCAGUGAAAUUCAUAAUUGUGAGCGAUUCCCGAAAUGUAUUCGAGAAGAUCGAAGCUUUGAGUGAGUCUUGGCCACGUGAACAGCAAUCGAAGUUAACA